UACGAAGGGUGCUAGCGUUGCUCGGAAUGACUGGGCGUAAAGGGCGCGUAGGCGGAUCGCGCAGUCGGGCGUGAAAGCCCCGGGCUCAACCCGGGGCGGGCGCUUGAGACGAGUGGUCUGGAGUGGGGGAGAGGGUCGCGGAAUUCCCAGUGUAGAGGUGAAAUUCGUAGAUAUUGGGAAGAACACCGGUGGCGAAGGCGGCGACCUGGCCCUUGACUGACGCUGAGGCGCGAAAGCGUGGGGAGCAAACAGG
RNAcentral lists this ribosomal RNA (253 nucleotides) under uncultured bacterium. RNAcentral describes it as "partial 16S ribosomal RNA". It matches the Rfam family "Bacterial small subunit ribosomal RNA", at positions 524 to 776 of the family's 1533-position model. The record is from RNAcentral.